Molecule: ribosomal RNA, 406 nt
Filed under: uncultured bacterium
Lineage: Bacteria
Description: partial 16S ribosomal RNA
Rfam family: Bacterial small subunit ribosomal RNA
Source: RNAcentral
AUUGAACGCUGGCGGCAGGCCUAACACAUGCAAGUCGAACGAGUGGCGGACGGGUGAGUAAUGUCUGAGAAACUGCCCGAUGGAGGGGGAUAACUACUGGAAACGGUAGAUACUACCGCAUACCAUCGGAUGUGCCCCGAUGGGAGUAGCUAGUAGGUGGGGUAACGGCUCACAUAGGCGACGAUCCCUAGCUGGUCUGAGAGGAUGACCAGCCACACUGGGACUGAGACACGGGCCAGACUCCUACGGGAGGCAGCAGUGGGGAAUAUUGGACAAUGGGCGCAAGCCUGAUGGAGCCAUGCCGCGUGUAUGAAGAAGGCCUUCGGGUUGUAAAGUACUUUCAGCGAGGAGGCGUUACGCGCAGAAGAAGCACCGGCUAACUCCGUGCCAGCAGCCGCGGUAAUAC